CUCGAUAGAUUUCUAUCACCCAAGACAGCCGGUGCCAGAAAUGGCUUAAUAUCCUGCUCAGGUGAAGUGAAAAGAACACUUUUUCGCACAGAGAGGUAAUCUCUGCCUGAGCAACAUCGGCAGAGAUUAUUUUUUUUGAAA
Anaerolinea thermophila is the source of this 141-nucleotide non-coding RNA. Lineage: Bacteria; Bacillati; Chloroflexota; Anaerolineae; Anaerolineales; Anaerolineaceae. The record is from Rfam.